AGGGAUAUGACUAAAUUGGCAAAGUGCUUGCCUUGCAAGCACAAGGCCCUGGGUUCAAACCCCAGCCCCA
Molecule: transfer RNA, 70 nt
Filed under: Ictidomys tridecemlineatus (thirteen-lined ground squirrel)
Lineage: Eukaryota; Metazoa; Chordata; Mammalia; Rodentia; Sciuridae
Description: Spermophilus tridecemlineatus (thirteen-lined ground squirrel) tRNA
Rfam family: tRNA
About the family: Transfer RNA (tRNA) molecules are approximately 80 nucleotides in length. Their secondary structure includes four short double-helical elements and three loops (D, anti-codon, and T loops).
Source: Rfam by way of RNAcentral